Molecule: non-coding RNA, 363 nt
Organism: Pelobates cultripes (western spadefoot toad)
Lineage: Eukaryota; Metazoa; Chordata; Amphibia; Anura; Pelobatidae
Source: the annotation of a GenBank genome assembly
GAAAUUUAUUCUGCGUAAUUUUGUUAUAUAUGAGUAAUCCUGGAAUACUUGUAUACUUCUAAAUUAUAGAUGCUUCUAAAUUAUUUGGGGUUCUAAUUGCUUUGUAGACAAGUUCCUUUAUUUGAAAUAAGAAAAAAGUUAACUAUUACAUCCCUUGGAGUGCUUUCUGGACUUCCCCUUAGUUUGGGUAAUCUGUGCCAUCGAUUCAUUAGAAAUGGGUAUAUUUUAAUGUUAACUCCCAACUUUAGAAAUAAUUCUUCCAGGAAUUUUUUGAGUUCUUUAUCCGUUACUUCUUCCGCUAUAUUUCUAAAUCUGAGGUUCUGUCUUCUAGCGCGAUCUUCUAAAUCUCCCAUUUUUAAUUCU